Molecule: ribosomal RNA, 253 nt
Filed under: uncultured bacterium
Lineage: Bacteria
Description: partial 16S ribosomal RNA
Rfam family: Bacterial small subunit ribosomal RNA
Source: RNAcentral
UACGAAGGUGGCUAGCGUUGUUCGGAUUUAUUGGGCGUAAAGGGUCCGCAGGCGGUUUGAUAAGUCAGGUGUGAAAUCCCACAGCUUAACUGUGGACACGCAUUUGAUACUGUUAGACUAGAGUAUGAGAGGGGUAAGAGGAAUUUCCAGUGUAGGGGUGAAAUCCGUAGAGAUGUGGAGGAAUACCAAUGGCGAAGGCAGCCCCCUGGGAUAAUAUUGACGCUCAUGCACGAAAGCGUGGGGAGCAAACAGG